This 467-nucleotide ribosomal RNA is filed under the name uncultured bacterium. Its description in RNAcentral is "partial 16S ribosomal RNA". It matches the Rfam family "Bacterial small subunit ribosomal RNA", at positions 28 to 506 of the family's 1533-position model. The record is from RNAcentral.
GACGAACGCUGGCGGCGUGCUUAACACAUGCAAGUCGAACGGAAAGGCCCUGCUUUUGUGGGGUGCUCGAGUGGCGAACGGGUGAGUAACACGUGAGUAACCUGCCCUUGACUUUGGGAUAACUUCAGGAAACUGGGGCUAAUACCGGAUAGGAGCUCCUGCUGCAUGGUGGGGGUUGGAAAGUUUCGGCGGUUGGGGAUGGACUCGCGGCUUAUCAGCUUGUUGGUGGGGUAGUGGCUUACCAAGGUUUUGACGGGUAGCCGGCCUGAGAGGGUGACCGGCCACAUUGGAACUGAGAUACGGCCCAGACUCCUACGGGAGGCAGGAGUGGGGAAUAUUGCACAAUGGGCGGAAGCCUGAUGCAGCAACGCCGCGUGCGGGAUGACGGCCUUCGGGUUGUAAACCGCUUUCGCCUGUGACGAAGCGUGAGUGACGGUAAUGGGUAAAGAAGCACCGGCUAACUACGU